AACGAACGCUAGCGGCAGGCCUAACACAUGCAAGUCGAACGCCCUAGCAAUAGGGAGUGGCGCACGGGUGCGUAACACGUGGGAAUGUACCCCAGGGUAAGGAAUAAUGUCUGGAAACGGACACUAAUACCUUGUAAUGACUUUGGUCCAAAGCUUUAUCGCCCUGGGAUCAGCCCGCGUCUGAUUAGCUAGUUGGUGAGGUAAUGGCUCACAAAGGCAACGAUCAGUAGCUGGUCUGAGAGGAUGAUCAGCCACACUGGAACAGAGACACGGUCCAGACUCCUACGGGAGGCAGCAGUGAGGAAUAUUGCACAAUGGAGGAAACUCUGAUGCAGCCAUGCCGCGUGAGUGAAGAAGGCCUUCGGGUUGUAAAGCUCUUUUAGUCUUGAAGGUAAUGACGGUAGCGACAGAAAAAGCCCCGGCUAAAUUCGUGCCAGCCGCCGCCGUAA
Molecule: ribosomal RNA, 449 nt
Filed under: uncultured bacterium
Lineage: Bacteria
Description: partial 16S ribosomal RNA
Rfam family: Bacterial small subunit ribosomal RNA
Source: RNAcentral